This is a long non-coding RNA of Solanum tuberosum (potato), 616 nucleotides long. RefSeq lists it as uncharacterized. The transcript has 3 exons. The record is from RefSeq and is a predicted model, not a curated record. NCBI's taxonomy places the organism in Eukaryota, Viridiplantae, Streptophyta, Magnoliopsida, Solanales, Solanaceae.
ACAGUUGAACCAGAACAAGUGAGUGAACAGGCUGAAUCAUCAUCACUCAAAAUGAAGCAGAAACUGGAGCCACCAACUCCAGAAAAACCAAACUGAGGUUUAUCCAAGCGUUUUGGCAACUACUUUUGAAUACUGUACUGUACAGAAAAGGAAAUACAAAGCUUGCUCACUUUUGGAUUUCUCCAUAAAUGCAUCAGUUCCUCACCCACUUUGUACAGUUUUGGCUAUGACACAAAGGUCAGCAAACUUUAUUGCUAAGACUUCUCCAUAUGAUCACCUUCUCAAACAACAACUAAAUACUUCACUUUUUUUGUUAGUACUAUUUUUAUAAAUACGUAAUAUAUAAAAAGUUAUCUUAGAUUAAUUAAUUAAAUGUGAAAAGAGAGUAGUUUGUUGUACUUUCCACAUAGUUUUUCUGACCCUUGUACUUGUAUGUGUUUGUAUUCUGAACCUUUCUACUUACCUCUUUGUCAACUGAACCCUUUAACUCAAUAAAAUUCACCAUCUUAAACUCUUUUGACCAUUGACCAAACUUAUGUGGCAACUUAAUUGUUGAGUUGGCAUAAGUACGUGAUUUCACGCAAAAAAGGAGCGUGAAAAUAAAAAUUUAGACUAA